Brassica napus (rape) is the source of this 6812-nucleotide RNA transcript. It is a transcript of the gene named calmodulin-binding protein 60 E, with no coding region annotated. The record is from RefSeq and is a predicted model, not a curated record. The transcript has 6 exons. NCBI's taxonomy places the organism in Eukaryota, Viridiplantae, Streptophyta, Magnoliopsida, Brassicales, Brassicaceae.
UUCAUUGUUAUUGAAAAUAUUUUAAUUUGUGAAUUUAAAAAAAAAAAUCUAGUAUUUGAGAAUGUCUGGAUAGGGUUUCUUAGUUAAAUUAAAAAUUAAAAACCAAACUGUAUAGUUUUAGAUGAGAUUCUAUAAUGAUUUAACAAAUCUAAAAACUCAGUAAAACUAAAAUUGCUUCAAUUUCCAGAUUGAGUACACCUCCCUAAACACUACAAGAAAAUCUGUACGUAGCCACAAAUUAGCUACAAAACAAAUUGUGGCUGAAGAUUUAAAGCACGAAUAGCCACAAAAUAACAACAAACUAAAAUCAGUAGCUAUUACGUAGAUUUUUGUGGCUAAAUAGCCACAGAUUACACUUUGUAGCUAAUUGAAUUUAAAAAACCGUGAUUAGCCACAAUUUGUUUUGUAGAAAUCGAUAUCUACUAUUAGCUACGAUAACAAUUGUGAAAAAUAAGAAGACACAACAUGAUUUGUGGCUAUUUGUAGAAAUUGAAACCCUAAACAUACUUUAAACCCUAAAAUUUUAAUUUUUGGUGAUAAAUUAAAGAUAAACAGCAAGUAAUAAGGAAAAAAAAACUAAACAUUAAUAAUAAAUUUUACAAAAUUUCAAAUAUAACUAUUUUAUAUUCAAACUUUGAACCGUAAACUUAACUUAUAAGUAAUCUUUAUCUAUAAUCCAAUACUUCAAAAUUCUUAAAAGGAUAUAUAAUAAUUUUAUAUCAUAAGUCAAGUUUUAUAACUUAAUAUAAAAUCAUUUGUGAGUACUUUUGACUCUUAAUUAAAUUUUACACAUUAAAAAUCGAAUUACAAAAAAAAUUAGAAAAAUUGAAUUAAAAACAUAAAAUGGCUUUACAAAUAAUACUUAAGAUGUUUUACAAUUAAAAUAAAACUAAAUACAAUAUCUAUAUAAUCUUUUAAAUGCAUAUAAAAGAAAUUAGGAGCGUCAAAAAAGAUAAAAGAAUACUAGUUUCUAUUGGUCACUCACCUGUAUGACAUGAGCAAUGUAUGUAUUUAGAGUAUAUGUUUAUUUGAGUACAACACUUAUAAUUUGUGUUUUCAGCAGAGAUAUCCCUCUUACUUAUACUUCGAUAAGUGUAGAAUUAAAAUGACAGUAUUAUAUCUUAUUCACUUUUCAUAGAUUAAUUUGUUGAGGUUUAGAGUAAGCAAUGUUUAGCUAGAGUAUUAUAUCUUAACCUUUAUAGUAAUAAUUUAAUUUAGUAUUGAUUAAAAUGAUAAUAUAUCAAAUUCAAUAUAGCUACAAAUAACUGCAUAUUAUGUUGUGGCUAUAUAAUAAUUCAGAAAUUUAACACAAAAAUUUCCAUUCCCGCUUUGCCUUUUUCUCAUUUUCCCGGCUAAAGCAUUUCCGGGGCAAACAAAUUAUUUUCUGUUUGAAACGAAACCACAAAAUUUAUUUAAGUAUAGAAAUACAAAAAAUCUUUUUUACUUAUCUUCAAUUCUCCCUUUGUUUCUUCAGCCUCCUCUGUAUCUUUUCUCAAUCUUCUCUCUUCAACCUUCUAAUAUAGCUGUUGCUUCCUAAUUCGUGUUUAAGAUGAAUCUCCUAGGCGUCAAUCUUAAAAUCGCUUCUUUCAUGCCUCAGUUCCAUAGCUCACGAUCCGAUUGUAAUUUAUGCGCUUCUUGGGUUAGGUUCUGUCUCUGUGAGUUUUGUUUCUAUCUCACAUUUAGAUUAGUGAAAUUGAGGUUUAAAUGAAAAUCUUGUUUGGUUCUUAGCGCAACAAGAGAACCUGAAACCCUUGCUUUUAUUUCAUUCUGAAUGGUGCUUGAUUUGUGAUUUGACGAGUGAUUAGAUAAAAAGAUGAAUCCUUUACUCACUUUGUGUUUCCAUUGUCAUAGGUUUCUGCAAACGACGAAGUUUUGUGUACUGCUUGAUAUCAAGGAGAAAACUUUGAAGAAGCUGUCUAAGCAGACAUGAUAUACGAAUCCAAGUAGCAGGGGUCACUUGUACAGUUCUCUGGCUCUAAGGAAAUUCAAAUGAUGCUGGAGAUUGCGGUGGCAUCCCUGUGUUUAAUACUUAUAAUGUCACUGCAUUUGAGAAGAUGGCCAAGGAGUUUGUGGAGAUGUUCAAACACGAAGUAAUGCUAUAGGGCGAUCUUAGGAGGAGCCAUACUUAUUCCUGAAGACGCAAUGCAAGUAGCAAAGAAGAGACAUAAUUGAUUGAUAUCAGUGACGAGGAAGAAACAAGUCUCGAAGGAGAUUUAAGUUUGGGUAUAAGGAUGAGUGGUACGUAGGCAAAUCGAACCUCCGGUCAAGUUUGAUAUAGCCAAGAGACCAGGAGCAAAGAGAUACCGUGCACCAGUUUAGAUUUAGGUUUUUAUUAGGUUUUCAAAACCAGUUUAUUAUUUAUGAACCAGUUUUAAUUUGUAAACCAUAUUGAAAAUAUUAUUGGAAAUAAAAGAAAAUAAAAUAAUUGAUUUGGUUUUAGUAUUUAUUGUAAUUGUUAUUAAUUAAUUAAUUAAUUUGAUUAUAGAAAAAAUGCAUUUUAAUUAAAUUUUAUAAUAAUGGCAACAAUUUAGUUUGUGGCUGAUUGUAGAAAAUUUUCUACGGUUUAGAAUAUGGUUUUUUGUAGCGAAAAGAGCAACAAACUUGAGUUAGCGCUAUUUGUAGCUAGUGGCUACAAAAAUCGUUUGUGGCUAAGUCGUAGAAGUAGAGCAACAAAUAGCAACACUUAUUCGAUUGCCACAAGCUCAUAGUCAACGAAUUUUUGUUGUGGCGAUUUGUGGCUAAGUGUUAAAUAGCCACGAAAAUUAGUCGAUAGCCACCAUAUUUUUCGUGGCUAAAUACAUAAUUUCUUGUAGUGAAAUUUCCGUACUCACCGUCAAAUCACAUGAUUAAUUUUAUAAAUUUUUAUAUUUAGCCAUUUAAAAAUAGUGUUGUUUACAAAUUACAAUGCACAUAUUUUAUUUUUGGGUGUAUACUUACUUAAAUUUGAUUUUAUAAUCUGUAAAAAUAAUUGGUGUACUAACUACAUUAUUUCUAACCAACGAUAUAGUUAUGCUUUGUAAUAUUUCAUCUUCGUUUAUUAAUUAAAAUUAAAUUAAUAUUAUUUUACAAUGUUAAUAACAAUUACGAAUUUAACUAAUCAUAAAAAAGAUUGGAAAGAUUAUAUAAGAUUUUAUUAUUAGAAGAUAUUAUUAGUAAGUUGAUUAGAAAAAAUCAACAUUAUUGCUAUUAAUAAAAAAGGUAAAAUUAAAAUAUUUUUAAUUCACAUAUCAUCAUACUUUAGAAAAUGUUUAUUUAUUUACUGUUUGUAUUUUAAUAGAAUAGACUAUGAUAUGAUCCAUGUCAAAUGUGAAUUACGUUUCUAGGUUAAGUUUCUUUUUAUAUAUAAAACAAAAAAAAUCGACAUGUUAACAUAUAAAAAUAUUUUGUGUCAUUUGGGUCAAAAUGUGAUAAUUAUGGGUCUCGUGAACAUAUGUCAUCACCGUAUUCACAUCACCACACUGAAAUUAAUAUACAAUUAUAUAAAAAACAUGUUAUCACCAUAUUCAUUCUCAACAAGAAAAAUAUGAUAUGAUCUUUUAAAAACAUGACAUAGCAUCAACUUAACAGUGAUACGGUUUUAUAAAGAUUUAGAUUUUAGAUUUUUUUUUUAAUAUGGUAAUAACUAGUAAAUUAUAUAUCACUAUUAAAGUAAAUUUACAUAUAAAUAUUUAAUUUUGACAAGAUUUUUGAAAUAUAGGAAUAAUUUAUAAUUUAUAUAUCACCAUUAGAUAAAAUAUAUAUAGCACAUUAAUGACAAACUAAGCUAAAUAUAAUUACAAAUAUAAUUUUAAAUCUAUGGAAGUUUAACAAAAUCAAAUUGAAAUAGUUAAACAAAGCACAAGAAACAAGACUACAUAAUAUUUUGCUGGAUGAAGUUAAAAUAUAAAAAUAAUAAUGUCUAAAUACAAACUAAAUUUUCCUUUUAAAAUAAAUGAUAUUAUAUUUAAAAUUAUUAUUCUGCGGAUGGCUUAAGAAAACUCUUAAUAUCUAAUAAAUUAUUAUAUAUGAUGGUAUAUUUUCCAUAUUUGUUAAGGCGUCUGCCUAAAAUGAUAGAAAAACAUUGAGAGUAUUAUGACGGGAUGAGGCAGCUCACUUGGUAAGGACUUUGUGGGCCAAUUGUCAUGCUCACGGGUUCGACGCCACCCGGAGGCGAACUGUCCAUUCUGUCACCAAAUGCGGUACUGGGUGUUGGGCCUUGUCCCCAGCCCAGGUAAAGCCCUCCCGGAUGAAGUGGACCGCUGCCUAAACGGACCCAGGGGAAUGAUCCACGUAAGUGGAGAACCCCUGGAUUAUCAAAAAAAAAAAAUAUUGAGAGUAUUAUUCAUAUACGUGUACCUAAUUUAUACCUAGUUAAGAAUCUAAAAGUUAAAGUUAUAUAAUAAAAAUAGGAUUACACGUAUAAAAGUUAUCUAAUAAAAAAAUUCACAUCAUAAUAUAAUAGUUGAGAAGAUAGCAUAUUUCCCUAUGAACUAGUUGUUCCCGGUUUUUUCACACACAAACUUUGAAGUCAUGCCAGAAACCACAUGAAGAACAUGAAAAUAGCUUAUUCUCCUAUAAACUAGUUGUUCCUGGCUUUUCACACACAAAUUUUUAAGUCAUGCCAAAAACCACAUGAACAACUCUAUUUUAUGAAUUACAUACACAAACUAUUGAUUUUAAACUAAUUCCCCUAAAACCGUAAACGUGAUAUUUAAACGUUAACUUGGUUUAUGACAGAUAGAGAGAGUUUAAUUUGAGUUGAUAAAAAAAUACUACGUCGUUUUAUUUUUAUUUUUUUUAUUUUUUUGUCAAUUGUUCAUUUUCUUCAUAGAUCUUUUUAUUUUUCAUCAUCAAUUGGAGAUACUGCACUGAUUUUAUAGUUCUUAGUGGCAAUACAUGGAGAUUGGUAAGCUAGUAUUUGAUGCUCUUCUUUCUUUAUGCGUCAUGUAAAACGUUUUAUUCUUCUACAGAAUAAUAAAUUUUAUCUUCAAUUGAAGAUGAAAAAUAAAACGAUUUCCGAAGAAGAAUAGCAGUUGACUAAAAAGAAGAAAAAGAAUAAAAUGGCACAGUAUUUUUUAUCAAUGUCAAUUAGAGGAAUUAUGUAUGGUAUGUAUAGCGACUACAACAAAUCAUGUUAUCUCCUGGUGCAGGAGUAUAUGGAAUGGGCAGCGACGUGACAAAUAGAUCGCACCCACUGAUCUAUUAAGUGACAUAAGGCGAUGGAUCACAAUAGAUGACAGCCGAACACAAGAUCAUUUAAGACCGAGAACAAAAAUAGAUAAAGUUAGUGAAUUAGUCUAUUCUGCAAAAGAGUUAGGAAGCAUCGUGUUAUUACUUUUCUAUUAUCAUGUUCAAUUUAAAAAUGUAUUUGUUGUAUGUUUCUAUUCUUGUAUUAUGUUAAACCUCUUUUGAUAUUAAUAAAGAUAAAAUGUUAUAAAACAAAAUUCAACAGACUCUCCACCUGUCAUAAAUCAAGUUAUUUUUUAAAUAACAUUGUUUAAGGUUUUAGGGGAAUUAGUUUGUUCAUGUGGUUUUUGGCAUGGCUUAAAAGUUUGUGUGUGAAAAAAUCAGGAACAACUAGUUCAUAGGAGAAUAAACCAUUUUCCCAUUGUUCAUGUAAUUUUUGGCAUGGCUUAAAAAUUCGUGUAUGAAAAAACCGGGAACAAUUAGUUCAUAGGGGAACAUGUCAUUUUCCCUAUAAUAGUUAGUGUUAAACAUGAAAAGUUCUCUAAUGAUUUUCAAAAUUUGCAUAUCAAACUGUCGGUAGAAAGCAUUUUACCUUCGAGGUAGGUCUUUAACAAUUGGCAAGUCACAUAUACAACGAUUCCGACUCGUUUUGGACCUUUACCAAUUACCCCCUGCUGCUGAAAUUAGUUAAAAGUUAAAACGAAAUGCUUUCAUGAUAGUAAGAAGUAAACGACGUCGUUUAGCCUGAGAUCCUCCGAUCGACAAGAUUUUCAAAAUUGAGCAUUCGUCACCGCUGCACUGUCGCGGAGGUUGGGAAACUGCAUUAGGUUCCUGGUGAUAUUCUCUUUAGUAUCAACUCGAGGUUUCGUUCUAUCUUCUUUUUUGAAUUAUACACAGUUUCCCCCAAAGACUUACCAGACCCAAUGGACUAAUCUGUGUUGCUGCGACCCCAAUGUUAAAUUUCGCCGUGGCCGGGAAUCGAACCCAAGUGGCGGUACUCACAGCUGUGAGCCUUUUACCACCAGAGCUAGAUGCCCCGGUUUUUCGUUCUAUCUUCUCUCUAGCUCUGAUUGAGAAUCUAUCAUCUGUGUUCCUCCGUUUGAUUUUUGGUUCAUUUUAGAGUGUGAAUACGGGACCUUUUUCUCCCAAAUUGAUGAUGAAGAUUGUGGAAGUGAUGAUCCUAAGUUCAAACUUCAAAAAGAAGAUGGAGAAGCAGUUUGUGGGCAGUUUCAGAAGAGCAUAGUCGUCACAUGAAUUUUACAUUGGCCGAAGCUAAAAGGGUUGCUUCACAGUACCAAAAAGGAGGCUGAGAAGUGUAACGCUGCAACAGUAAUUUGCGAGUCAGCUAGGGAGAGAGAGAGAGCUCAAGAAUUGUUUCUCAAAGAGAAGAAGGUCACUUCUUUGUGGGAGCGGAGGGCUUGGCAAUUAGGUUGGAAAGGUGAGUAAGCAUUUCACUGUUUUGUGACUUCUUCUCAGUGUCCCCUGAAGGGUUUCUCGUUGGAAGCAAACUAGAUUUUCUCUUCCGCAUAUAGCUCAUGAGAACAUGAGGAUCGCUUAAUUCACAAGGCAAAGUUUUAUAUGUAGCUCUUUUUUGUUAUGCUCUCGAAUCCAAGUAUAGAUAAUGAAAGUGACUUAUUUUGACUUUU